GCGAGUCAUUGUAGUAAUACAAGGCAGACGGCUCAGUAACGCGUACUUACCUAACCUAUGGACGGGAAUAACCUCGGGAAACUGACUAUAAUGCCCGAUAGAACAUUAUGCCUGGAAUGGUUUAUGUUCCAAAUGAUUUAUCGCCGUAGGAUGGGACUGCCCCCUAUCAGUUUGUUGGUGAGGUAAUGGCCCACCAAGACUAUUACAGGUACGGGCUCUGAGAGGAGUAGCCCGGAGAUGGGUACUGAGACACGGACCCAGGCCCUAUGGGGCGCAGCAGGCGAGAAAACUUUGCAAUGUGCGAAAGCACGACAAGGUUAAUCCGAGUGGUUUCUGCUAAAGGAACCUUUUGUCGGUCCUAGAAACACCGAUGAAUAAGGGGUGGGCAAGUUCUGGUGUCAGCCGCCGCGGUAAAACCAGCACCUCAAGUGGUCAGGAUGAUUAUUGGGCCUAAAGCAUCCGUAGCCGGCUUUGUUAGUUUUCGGUUAAAUCUGUACGCUCAACGUACAGGCUGCCGGGAAUACUGCAGAGCUAGGGAGUGGGAGAGGUAGACGGUACUCGGUAGGAAGGGGUAAAAUCCUUUGAUCUAUUGAUGACCACCUGUGGCGAAGGCGGUCUACCAGAACACGUCCGACGGUGAGGGAUGAAAGCUGGGGGAGCAAACCGGAUUAGAUACCCGGGUAGUCCCAGCUGUAAACUAUGCAAACUCAGUGAUGCAUUGGCUUGUGGCCAAUGCAGUGCUGCAGGGAAGCCG
This 754-nucleotide ribosomal RNA is filed under the name uncultured crenarchaeote. RNAcentral describes it as "bacterial SSU rRNA". It matches the Rfam family "Archaeal small subunit ribosomal RNA", at positions 53 to 814 of the family's 1478-position model. Lineage: Archaea; Thermoproteati; Thermoproteota. The record is from RNAcentral.